RNAcentral lists this transfer RNA (73 nucleotides) under Lachnospiraceae bacterium. Its description in RNAcentral is "tRNA-Asp". It matches the Rfam family "tRNA". From Rfam's summary of the family: Transfer RNA (tRNA) molecules are approximately 80 nucleotides in length. Lineage: Bacteria; Bacillati; Bacillota; Clostridia; Lachnospirales; Lachnospiraceae. The record is from RNAcentral.
GCCCGGUGGCUCAGCUGGUUAGAGCGCCGCCCUGUCACGGCGGAGGUCGUGGGUUCGAACCCCAUCCGGGUCG